GGUAUUCAAAGAUCGUAUAGUGGUUAGUACAUUGCGUUGUGGCCGCAAUAACCCAGGUUCGAAUCCUGGUCACGGCACCA
RNAcentral lists this transfer RNA (80 nucleotides) under Trichonephila clavata. RNAcentral's name for it is "tRNA-His". The stretch from base 11 to 71 matches the Rfam family "tRNA", at positions 6 to 65 of the family's 71-position model. Rfam says of the family: Transfer RNA (tRNA) molecules are approximately 80 nucleotides in length. Their secondary structure includes four short double-helical elements and three loops (D, anti-codon, and T loops). The record is from RNAcentral. Lineage: Eukaryota; Metazoa; Arthropoda; Arachnida; Araneae; Nephilidae.